GUCUACAGCCAUGCCACCCUGAAAGUGCCCGAUCUCAUCUGAUCUCAGAAGCUAAGCAGGGUCAGUCCUGGUUAGUACUUGGAUGGGAGACCACCUGGGAAGACCAGGUGCUGUAGGCA
RNAcentral lists this ribosomal RNA (119 nucleotides) under Pteropus alecto (black flying fox). Lineage: Eukaryota; Metazoa; Chordata; Mammalia; Chiroptera; Pteropodidae. The record is from RNAcentral.